RNAcentral lists this ribosomal RNA (406 nucleotides) under uncultured bacterium. Its description in RNAcentral is "partial 16S ribosomal RNA". It matches the Rfam family "Bacterial small subunit ribosomal RNA", at positions 28 to 526 of the family's 1533-position model. The record is from RNAcentral.
GAUAAACGCUGGCGGCGUGCAUAACACAUGCAAGUCGAACGCAGUGGCGAACGGGUGAGUAACACGUGGGUAACCUGCCUUACACAAGGGGAUAGCCUUUGGAAACGAAGAAUAAUACCCUAUAGUGUAAGAUGGACUUGCGUCUGAUUAGCUAGUUGGUGAGAUAAAAGCCCACCAAGGCGACGAUCCGUAGCCGGCUUGAGAGAAUGUACGGCACCAUUGCGACAGAGAGACGGCCCAAACUCUACGAGAGGCAGCAAUGGGGAAUGAGGCACGAUGCGGGAAAGACUGAGGCAGCGGCGCCGCGAGAUUUAGUAGGCUGUCGGGUUGUAAAAAUCUUUUAUAUGGGAUGCGGUACCAGAAGAAUAAGGUCCGGCUAAAUACGUGCCAGCAGCCGCGGUAAUUC